GACGAACGCUGGCGGCGUGCUUAAUACAUGCAAGUCGAACGGAAAGGCCCUGCUUUUGUGGGGUGCUCGAGUGGCGAACGGGUGAGUAACACGUGAGUAACCUGCCCUUGACUUUGGGAUAACUUCAGGAAACUGGGGCUAAUACCGGAUAGGAGCUCCUGCUGCAUGGUGGGGGUUGGAAAGUUUCGGCGGUUGGGGAUGGACUCGCGGCUUAUCAGCUUGUUGGUGGGGUAGUGGCUUACCAAGGCUUUGACGGGUAGCCGGCCUGAGAGGGUGACCGGCCACAUGGGGACUGAGAUACGGCCCAGACUCCUACGGGAGGCAGCAGUGGGGAAUAUUGCACAAUGGGCGGAAGCCUGAUGCAGCAACGCCGCGUGCGGGAUGACGGCCUUCGGGUUGUAAACCGCUUUCGCCUGUGACGAAGCGUGAGUGACGGUAAUGGGUAAAGAAGCACCGGCUAACUACGUG
This 468-nucleotide ribosomal RNA is filed under the name uncultured bacterium. Its description in RNAcentral is "partial 16S ribosomal RNA". It matches the Rfam family "Bacterial small subunit ribosomal RNA", at positions 28 to 507 of the family's 1533-position model. The record is from RNAcentral.